GAUGAACGCUGGCGGCGUGCCUAAUACAUGCAAGUCGAGCGAACGGACGAGAAGCUUGCUUCUCUGAUGUUAGCGGCGGACGGGUGAGUAACACGUGGAUAACCUACCUAUAAGACUGGGAUAACUUCGGGAAACCGGAGAUAAUACUGGAUAAUAUUUUGAACCGCAUGGUUCAAAAGUGAAAGACAGUCUUGCUGUCACUUAUAGAUGGAUCCGCGCUGCAUUAGCUAGUUGGUAAGGUAACGGCCUACCAAGGCAACGAUGCAUAGCCGACCUGAGAGGGUGAUCGGCCACACUGGAACUGAGACACGGUCCAGACUCCUACGGGAGGCAGCAGUAGGGAAUCUUCCGCAAUGGGCGAAAGCCUGACGGAGCAACGCCGCGUGAGUGAUGAAGGUCUUCGGAUCGUAAAACUCUGUUAUUAGGGAAGAACAUAUGUGUAAGUAACUGUGCACAUCUUGACGGUACCUAAUCAGAAAGCCACGGCUAACUACGUG
This 497-nucleotide ribosomal RNA is filed under the name uncultured bacterium. Its description in RNAcentral is "partial 16S ribosomal RNA". It matches the Rfam family "Bacterial small subunit ribosomal RNA", at positions 28 to 507 of the family's 1533-position model. The record is from RNAcentral.